RNAcentral lists this ribosomal RNA (1505 nucleotides) under metagenome. Its description in RNAcentral is "bacterial LSU rRNA". It matches the Rfam family "Bacterial large subunit ribosomal RNA", at positions 1277 to 2911 of the family's 2925-position model. The record is from RNAcentral.
GUUGAUCAGAAGCGAGAAUGUUGACAUGAGUAGCGACAAACAGGGUGAGAGACCCUGUCGCCGAAAGUCCAAGGGUUCCUGCUUAAAGCUAAUCUGAGCAGGGUAAGCCGGCCCCUAAGGCGAGGCCGAAAGGCGUAGUCGAUGGGAACCAGGUUAAUAUUCCUGGGCCAGGAGAUGUGACGGAUCAUAGAGGUAGUUCGGUCUUAACGGAUUGAUCGGGCUGCUGAGUGGUCCCUGGAAAUAGCCCUCCAUGAGACCGUACCCUAAACCGACACAGGUGGACUGGUAGAGAAUACCAAGGCGCUUGAGAGAACCACAUUUAAGGAACUCGGCAAAAUACCUCCGUAAGUUCGCGAGAAGGAGGCCCCGUUUGUACGCAAGUAUGGGCGGGGGGCACAAACCAGGGGGUGGCGACUGUUUACUAAAAACACAGGGCUCUGCGAAGCCGUAAGGCGACGUAUAGGGUCUGACGCCUGCCCGGUGCCGGAAGGUUAAAAGGAGAUGUGCAAGCAUUGAAUUGAAGCCCCGGUAAACGGCGGCCGUAACUAUAACGGUCCUAAGGUAGCGAAAUUCCUUGUCGGGUAAGUUCCGACCUGCACGAAUGGCGUAACGACUUCCCCGCUGUCUCAAAUGUGGACUCAGCGAAAUUGAAUUGUCUGUGAAGAUGCAGACUUCCCGCGGUUAGACGGAAAGACCCCAUGCACCUUUACUAUAGCUUCGCACUGGCAUCAGGAUUGUGAUGUGCAGGAUAGGUGGUAGGCAUUGAAACCGGGACGCCAGUUCCGGUGGAGCCAUCCUUGAGAUACCACCCUUCGCACUCUUGAUGUCUAACCGCGGCCCGUUAUCCGGGUCCGGGACCCUGCGUGGUGGGUAGUUUGACUGGGGCGGUCGCCUCCCAAAGAGUAACGGAGGCGCGCGAAGGUUGGCUCAGAGCGGUCGGAAAUCGCUCGUUGAGUGCAAUGGCAGAAGCCAGCCUGACUGCAAGACUGACAAGUCGAGCAGAGACGAAAGUCGGCCAUAGUGAUCCGGUGGUCCCGAGUGGAAGGGCCAUCGCUCAACGGAUAAAAGGUACGCUGGGGAUAACAGGCCGAUGAUGCCCAAGAGUCCAUAUCGACGGCAUCGUUUGGCACCUCGAUGUCGGCUCAUCUCAUCCUGGGGCUGGAGCAGGUCCCAAGGGUAUGGCUGUUCGCCAUUUAAAGAGGUACGUGAGCUGGGUUUAGAACGUCGUGAGACAGUUCGGUCCCUAUCUGCCGUGGGUGUAGGAUACUUGAGAGGAGUUGCCCCUAGUACGAGAGGACCGGGGUGAACGUUCCACUGGUGGACCAGUUGUCGUGCCAACGGCAGUGCUGGGUAGCUAUGAACGGACAGGAUAAACGCUGAAGGCAUCUAAGCGUGAAGCCCCCCUCAAAACAAGGUAUCCCUUGAGAGCCGUGGAAGACCACCACGUCGAUAGGCCGGAGAUGUAAGCGCAGCAAUGCGUUCAGUUGACCGGUACUAAUGGCUCC